AAAGCCGCAACAAGGUUUCCGUAGGUGAACCUGCGGAAGGAUCAUUAAAAGAAUUAGGCUUCGCGGCCCAAGUUCUCACCCUUUUGUAUACCCGUAAACCAUGUUGCUUUGGCAGGCCCCCUGCAUUUUGCUCGGGCCCUGCCAGAGGUUUAUAAACCCUAGAAUCUCUGCUGUCUGAGUACUAUGCAAUAGUUAAAA
RNAcentral lists this unclassified non-coding RNA (198 nucleotides) under plant metagenome. RNAcentral's name for it is "partial contains small subunit ribosomal RNA and internal transcribed spacer 1". The stretch from base 1 to 47 matches the Rfam family "Eukaryotic small subunit ribosomal RNA", at positions 1785 to 1831 of the family's 1831-position model. The record is from RNAcentral.